Molecule: ribosomal RNA, 1504 nt
Filed under: Klebsiella pneumoniae
Lineage: Bacteria; Pseudomonadati; Pseudomonadota; Gammaproteobacteria; Enterobacterales; Enterobacteriaceae
Description: 16S ribosomal RNA
Rfam family: Bacterial small subunit ribosomal RNA
Source: RNAcentral
GAGUUUGAUCCUGGUCAGAACGAACGCUGGCGGCAGGCCUAACACAUGCAAGUCGAGCGGUAGCACAGAGAGCUUGCUCUCGGGUGACGAGCGGCGGACGGGUGAGUAAUGUCUGGGAAACUGCCUGAUGGAGGGGGAUAACUACUGGAAACGGUAGCUAAUACCGCAUAAUGUCGCAAGACCAAAGUGGGGGACCUUCGGGCCUCAUGCCAUCAGAUGUGCCCAGAUGGGAUUAGCUAGUAGGUGGGGUAAUGGCUCACCUAGGCGACGAUCCCUAGCUGGUCUGAGAGGAUGACCAGCCACACUGGAACUGAGACACGGUCCAGACUCCUACGGGAGGCAGCAGUGGGGAAUAUUGCACAAUGGGCGCAAGCCUGAUGCAGCCAUGCCGCGUGUGUGAAGAAGGCCUUCGGGUUGUAAAGCACUUUCAGCGGGGAGGAAGGCGAUAAGGUUAAUAACCUUGGCGAUUGACGUUACCCGCAGAAGAAGCACCGGCUAACUCCGUGCCAGCAGCCGCGGUGAUACGGAGGGUGCAAGCGUUAAUCGGAAUUACUGGGCGUAAAGCGCACGCAGGCGGUCUGUCAAGUCGGAUGUGAAAUCCCCGGGCUCAACCUGGGAACUGCAUUCGAAACUGGCAGGCUAGAGUCUUGUAGAGGGGGGUAGAAUUCCAGGUGUAGCGGUGAAAUGCGUAGAGAUCUGGAGGAAUACCGGUGGCGAAGGCGGCCCCCUGGACAAAGACUGACGCUCAGGUGCGAAAGCGUGGGGAGCAAACAGGAUUAGAUACCCUGGUAGUCCACGCCGUAAACGAUGUCGAUUUGGAGGUUGUGCCCUUGAGGCGUGGCUUCCGGAGCUAACGCGUUAAAUCGACCGCCUGGGGAGUACGGCCGCAAGGUUAAAACUCAAAUGAAUUGACGGGGGCCCGCACAAGCGGUGGAGCAUGUGGUUUAAUUCGAUGCAACGCGAAGAACCUUACCUGGCCUUGACAUCCACAGAACUUUCCAGAGAUGGAUUGGUGCCUUCGGGAACUGUGAGACAGGUGCUGCAUGGCUGUCGUCAGCUCGUGUUGUGAAAUGUUGGGUUAAGUCCCGCAACGAGCGCAACCCUUAUCCUUUGUUGCCAGCGGUUAGGCCGGGAACUCAAAGGAGACUGCCAGUGAUAAACUGGAGGAAGGUGGGGAUGACGUCAAGUCAUCAUGGCCCUUACGACCAGGGCUACACACGUGCUACAAUGGCAUAUACAAAGAGAAGCGACCUCGCGAGAGCAAGCGGACCUCAUAAAGUAUGUCGUAGUCCGGAUUGGAGUCUGCAACUCGACUCCAUGAAGUCGGAAUCGCUAGUAAUCGUAGAUCAGAAUGCUACGGUGAAUACGUUCCCGGGCCUUGUACACACCGCCCGUCACACCAUGGGAGUGGGUUGCAAAAGAAGUAGGUAGCUUAACCUUCGGGAGGGCGCUUACCACUUUGUGAUUCAUGACUGGGGUGAAGUCGUAACAAGGUAGCCGUAGG